AGCAGCCGCGGUAAUUCCAGCUCCAAUAGCGUAUAUUAAAGUUGUUGCAGUUAAAAAGCUCGUAGUUGAAUUUCGGGAUCAAUAUGUUGGUCGUGCCUUGGUACGUACUGGCAUUAUCGAUUCCUACCUUCUGAAGAACCUCGAUGUCAUUAAUUUGGUGUCUUGGGGAAUCAGGACUGUUACUUUGAAAAAUUAGAGUGUUUAAAGCAGGCUCGCGCUUGAAUACAUUAGCAUGGAAUAAUGAAAUAGGACGUUUGAUUCUAUUUUGGUGGUUUCUAGGAUCGACGUAAUGAUUAAUAGGGAUAGUUGGGGGCAUUAGUAUUCAAUUGUCAGAGGUGAAAUCCUUGGAUUUAUUGAAGACUAAACUACUGCGAAAAGCAUUUGCCAAGGAUGUUUUCAUUAAUCAAGAACGAAAGUUAGGGGAUCGAAGACGAUCAGAUACCGUCGUAGUCUUAACCAUAAACUAAUGCCGACUAGGGAUCGGAUGAUGUAAUUUUAAAUG
RNAcentral lists this ribosomal RNA (502 nucleotides) under uncultured Glomus. RNAcentral describes it as "SSU rRNA". It matches the Rfam family "Eukaryotic small subunit ribosomal RNA", at positions 569 to 1074 of the family's 1831-position model. Lineage: Eukaryota; Fungi; Glomeromycota; Glomeromycetes; Glomerales; Glomeraceae. The record is from RNAcentral.